CUUGUUGAGACUGAGUGAAUCUUCUGUUCAUCUUGAAUGAAAGCUGGUACAGAAAAUUGGACACAUUCACCAGGCUGAUAAAUGUUUUCAGUACAGAGUUCUUCAUUGCUGCACAGCUCCAACCCACCCAUUACUGACUGUACCUGGAUGGGACCUCUCCAGAAGGCCAAGGAGCUGGCACUGACUUCAGCAGGCUUUGAAUCCAGAGCCCAGGGAGUGACCACUAGUUUUCCAUCACAAAAGACACAGAUUGAGGAAAGGGGCCAUCUCCUCGGAUCAGGUGUCUGCAGAAGAGCUCCUCAGACCCCCAG
This 311-nucleotide long non-coding RNA is filed under the name Zonotrichia albicollis (white-throated sparrow). Its description in RNAcentral is "lncRNA (ENSZALG00000010058.1)". Lineage: Eukaryota; Metazoa; Chordata; Aves; Passeriformes; Passerellidae. The record is from RNAcentral.